UGCCUUGGCUCAAGCAAUCCUCCCACCAUU
Molecule: non-coding RNA, 30 nt
Filed under: Rattus norvegicus (Norway rat)
Lineage: Eukaryota; Metazoa; Chordata; Mammalia; Rodentia; Muridae
Source: RNAcentral